Non-coding RNA from Podarcis lilfordi (Lilford's wall lizard), 7926 nucleotides. The record is from the annotation of a GenBank genome assembly. NCBI's taxonomy places the organism in Eukaryota, Metazoa, Chordata, Lepidosauria, Squamata, Lacertidae.
AUAACAUUACAGCUGGAAACCACUUAGUUUCUAUCCAACAUCAUUCUAACAUUCAUUAAUUUUACAGUAUUUCUGUAGAUAGUCUUUAAACUUUUUCCAAUCUUCUUCCACCGACUCUUCUCCCUGGUCUCGGAUUCUGCCAGUCAUUUCUGCCAGUUCCAUAUAGUCCAUCAUCUUCAUCUGCCAUUCUUCCAGGGUGGGUAGAUCUUGUGUCUUCCAAUACUUUGCAAUAAGUAUUCUUGCUGCUGUUGUGGCAUACAUAAAGAAAGUCCUAUCCUUCUUUGGCACCAAUUGGCCGACUAUGCCCAACAGGAAGGCCUCUGGUUUCUUUAGAAAGGUAUAUUUAAAUACCUUUUUCAGUUCAUUAUAGAUCAUCUCCCAGAAAGCCUUGAUCUUUGGGCACGUCCACCAAAGGUGAAAGAAUGUACCUUCGUUUUCCUUACAUUUCCAACAUUUAUUAUCGGGCAAAUGAUAGAUUUUUGCAAGCUUGACUGGUGUCAUGUACCACCUGUAUAUCAUUUUCAUAAUAUUCUCUCUUAGGGCAUUACAUGCCGUAAAUUUCAUACCUGUGGUCCACAACUGUUCCCAGUCAGCAAACAUAAUGUUAUGUCCAACAUCUUGUGCCCAUUUAAUCAUAGCAGAUUUCACCGUUUCAUCCUGAGUAUUCCAUUUCAACAGCAAGUUAUACAUCUUUGACAGAAUCUUAGUUUUGGGUUCUAACAGUUCUGUUUCUAAUUUUGAUUUUUCCACCUGGAAGCCAAUUUUCUUGUCCAAUCCAAAUUAUAUGCCUCCAUUAUCUGAUAAUAACAAAGGUUGUCACAUUUUAUUUUAGUAUAUUAAAUUCACCAGAUUUUAAUAUAUUAUUGGAGCUUGCCAUGGUGUUCCUCAGAUGUUUGGGGUCAUUAAGCCCUUUGUUUUAAAUCCCCAAACUUGUAAGGUUCUGACAGCAUCUACAUAUUAGGGGAUCUAGCCAACAAGGACUUUCCUUGACAUUAGCUAUACUCCAAAAUUGGAAAAGGCUGUCACAGUAACUGAUGGAGCUAAUGGAUAAUAAACUGUUCUGCCAUCUCCUUUCCAAACCCUUGAAUAGUGCUCAAGAUCAUGAAAAGGUCUUUGCCAAGUUUCGGAAACGAAAGUUUCUUAAACUAACAGGAGACCUUACGUGUUCACCUGGAAUUCUGUGCACUGAGAAUGAGCUAGAAUGUUGGUCACAGAUUGUAAACAUUAUGCAAAGAAAUGAAAACCCCGAAAUGACCCAACAUUUUGCAUGGUGUGCUGUUGGAAAUAAUGAAAGAAGUCACUUUUUACUGAAACUUGUACUGUUCCCUAGCAUUUCAAAGAGUGAUAUUGCUGCUUUUUGAUCGCUAAGAGUUGGGUUAUCAAAAGCUGUCAGUACUGGCUAACUCUGCUCCCAAAGAUGUCAACAGUAGUUUUCCAAUUGAUUGAAUGUGCAGCCUGCACUGAUGAGCACCUUUGAAAAUGUUAAUUUUCAUUGUUAUAGAAUAGAUAAAACAAUACAAUCUACCAGAAGAUUCUCCUGCAGAUGUCCCACUGAUGUGAAUUCUUUGGGGCUUUCACAAGAGAACUUUAUGGUGGAUUGUGCCCCAAAUUAUAUUAGACAGAUUAUCUCAAGCAGAAUGAAAAUCUCUUUUUCUUUUCUCUUUUACAUUGUGUCCUUGCAAAAGGAGGAUUUUAAAUAGCUUGCUUUGUGCAGAAAAUGAAAAAUAGUAACUAGCUAGUUACCAAAUUGAAGCCUUUCAUUUUCAUAAUCAUCUGCUGAAACUUUUGUUCAUCUGACCAGAGAUAAUUCAGGAUCCUGUUAAGCUACAAAACUAGAAAAGUAGUUCUGUUAUCAUAGGCUUUUCUUCAGAUAUUUUUGCUCAUAAUAGGGCAAGACUGGAGCUGAAGUUAUUGCUAACAAUACCAUCUACUUCUCAAUGUAAUGCAAGGAGGAUAGGUACAAGAGAAAGUCACCUCUCUCCCUAAUCUGUGUGGCCAGAGGGGAAAGAUUAAAUUCCUGCAUAGGAUAUCAGCUGCCUUUGACGCCUACAUCUUUUAACUUCUUAAAAGAAAGAUCACAGGUAGAGAUGUAAGAAGGCAUUAUUUUAUAUUCCGCAGUAUAUUCACAUGCAAAACUGUUUCCAUUCUGCUGCAAUUCAUCUUCACCCAAAACCAUGUUAUUCAUUUUGCUGUCUGCUGCAGUGAAAUUACAUAAUUUACAUAAUUACAUAAAUUAAGUUGUUGUAGCAUUAUUCCAUCCCAUUCAUUUCAAUGCAAAAGAAACGUAAUAGAAAAGGGAGGUGGGGGUGGAACAUAAUUAUGUACUGUUUGUGGAUUGAGAGCAACAUCAACAGUGAAUACUUAAAUUCACUGGAUUGAUUUCUAUUCUGGACAUGGGGAAAAUCAACAAAAAUGGCCAUUUCCAUUUGUAUUCUCCCACAUGCCUAGUCACAGGAUGACUGCAAGCUCUGCUGAUUUUAGCUCUGAAGACCAUUGACAUCACUCAUAAACCAAACUCCUUAAUCUUACAGAAGGCAGCAAACCACCCUAGAUUUAUUUAUAUAUAUAUAUUUCCAGAUCCGAGGCAGGAAAAGGGUGCUUAGGGACCCUGUUUCCUUUUAGUUUAACUUGCCUAGGGGCUGCUUUAUAGCUUCCAGGCAGUUAGGACUGGUUCUUUUUCCACUUCAAGGACACCACGAUACUCUGUGUGCCAUUCCAGACGUUAUGACUUAUGAGAUGCAUUGGAUCUUAGACGAGUGUAAGAUGUUUGCCACCUGUGGUGGAAAAUCCAAAUGGUGUCUCUCACAUUAAAAUGGGUCAGAGUAGAGUUGUGCGGUGUGCUGUUAUGUAGAUCCCAUGUGUUUCAGUUGUGUUUGUGUAGGGAGACUUGUGUCUUGGGGCCCCUUUAGUCAGAUCUGCCUUUCUCCUCCUUGCUAUUCUCGGUGGCCCCCAAAGGCUGCCUUGAUAUGAGGGAGCCAAACAAGGAAUCCUCCAUUAUGAAGUCGUCUUGAGUGCUAAGCAUUAAAAAAAAGGAACUCAUUGUUGCAUUAUGUCCCACCAGCUUUUCACACGCAGCAAUCGCCUCUCUCCUCGGAUGCACUGUACUGGGGGUUCUCCUGGCCCCUUUGCCCCGCCAAUUUUGGGGGAGCCCUCUUGUGCAGAUGGGCAUCCUUUCACAGGGCUUCCUCUGAUAAGGUGCAUCAGGUAAAUCCCACUAAAAGAGUUUGUGGACAGCAGACCCAUCUCUCACCCCCCGCCUGCAACUCUUCUUUGAUGAAAAGGUGUUUAUAGACUAGUUUGGAUGGAUUCAGUACACUUCUGAGUGCUUCCCUAACAUCAGACAUAAAUAAUAUUGUAUGUAUAUUAAUAAGCUUUUUAAUUUAGAUUCUAGGAUCAGUAUUAAUAUGGGUGGGUUGAGGAGGAAAGGGACAAGAAAAAACCCGAGAUUCUUGGUGAACCUUCUCUCCCCUUCACCAAUCCCAGAUAUCAUGAUAACAGCUGCAAUCCUAUACACAUCUACCUGGAAAUAAGUCUCAUUGAACUCAAUGGUACUUAACUUCAGAGUAGAUCUGUAUUGAAUUGCACUGCAAGGGAGAUUCCGGGAUGUGAGGGAAAGUACUAGAUCACAACAAAAGAUGGAUUUUGUGCAAUAUCUUUGCUUGCUUUUCUUGUGUGUAUAUGUGUUUUUAAAAGAAUUCAUUUUGACAACUAAAAACAUCUGCUUUCCCAGUAGAUCUUUGAGAUUAAUUUUUCUGGGGUGUUCGUUUUGCUUUGCUUUGUUUCAGGAUCGUGUAGAGUUACAUGUAGCAUUUAAUUACAGUUGUCUUGUGGAUUGUCUGUACAUUGUCAGUAGACAAAUGGCAUUUCUGUUGACUGAAGAUGACUAGGGACGCCACAUUGUUGUGCUAUAAUGAUAAACAGAAGUGUUGCCAAUUGCAUAGUAGACAACAAACUCACAGCUAAUGACGUCUAUAUUCCACACAGUACUUUGUAAGUACACAGCAGGGUAGUUUUUGUGUUUAAUUCACCUGGAAAUUCUGCUGCUAACUUCCUCUGUCCUUUGAGCAAGCAAAAUAAUGUUUGUUCCAUACGAUCGAUGGUAGGUGGCAACUUAUGGUAGACAUUUGCAGCUUCAUAAUCCAGCAUGUGGCAUCCUUAAUUGAUAUAAAUGAUCGCUCAGAUCAAUAGAUGUUGCAAGUAUCUUUUAAAUUGUUUGUUAAUGAUGUUAAUCCAUGUAUUUGAUGUACAUUUUCUUCUCAUGGCCAAGCGUUUUAUCAGGAGCUAUUUUAAAUUAACUUACUUGAAUGAGUUAACUGAAGCACUGUGUAAUUUAUCUAGCUCUAGACGCAACUUACAAACAAGGUUUGUGGUGAAUUUCUUUUUCUGUACACACCCAUGCUACUCAUGAAGCUGUUUCAUGGAGGUAGUGAAAAUCUAGCAUAUUUCAAUUUAUGUCUCAGAGAAGAGAGGGGGAAAUGUCUCUUUCUGUGAACAAAAGAACCUACCUUUGUAACGGGCCUUAUCUCUAAACAGUUUCAUAGCUGCCUUUUACCCAGUUUUGAAGAAAUCAUUUGAUACAGGCAUUGUGGGAUAAAUAAUCGUUUGCAUGGAAACGCAUUUCUUGAUCUCUUCUGACAAUGCAAAGCUAUGUAAAUGAAUCGAAACUGUGUUACAAAUAAAGCCAACAAGGGUUGUUCCUUUUUUAAAAAAACAAACAAACCAAUUAGGGCUUCGAUCUGUAGUGUUGCACACCUUAGCUUAGAUAACAGGAGAUUUUCCUCUAGAGCACCAGUUUCAGCUGAAGGCACCAGGACCCACAGGUGGGGCAUACACUUAUGAAAGCAGUGUCAUGCCAGCAACCAUUUAAAGCAGUAAUUUGAGAGAGAGAAGGAGACCACGUAAAGGAGUAUGAAGCUCCUUGAACAUUAAUGAAGCUGUGAAGAGGAGAAAUUCAGCACAUGCAGCUUCUCAGUUAGUUCUCCUUUCCCUUGCUUGACCAGCUGCAUCUGCCAACAUCUCUUUUGCACAGGAGUCGUAUCCUCCUUGCACUUCAAGGAGACGAAUGGAGAGAAGAUGUGGAGGGAAGGACCCUGGCUCAAAGGUAGGACCAUCUCCAGGGAUGGUUGGGAAGGCUCCUUUCUUGGAACCCAGGAGAACACACUAGCGGAACCAGCGGCCUAAUUCAACUUGGGGAAGCUUCUUGCUUUCCUAUGAACAUAUAGCAGUUGCAGGGGAUUAAAAGCCAGUCCCUCAUUUUAGGUUGGGAUUAGGGAUGGGUCCUGGGCCUGAAAGUGUUGGGACUACUGCCCUAGAGUUUAAAGACUGUGGAACUCAAACUCCUGUCAUAUGUCAAACUCCUCUAUAUGCACUUUAAAUUGACCGUUUUUGCUAAUGUUGGUACAAAGUAUUUGGUAAACACGUUGCCAUAAAGUGCCCCACGGUGUAAUAUAAAAUAAAAAUUACUGAACUCAGAAAUACAUAUUGGGUCUUGUUUUUGGCUUGAUUGCUCAUUUGGAUUACAUUUGGCUAAAAGCUACAUUUGAGAAUCGAACUGUUAGGUUAUACCAAGGCGGUUUGGAAGCAAGACCGUUGCUCUGCAACAUUUGUUUGUUUUGAACAUAUUUCACAGCUUUCCAGAAGUUAGGGAAGUGGGGAGCCUUUAAAGCUGGACAUGGAACCAUAGAAUAAUAGAAUUGUAGAAUUGGAAGGGACCCUAAGGGUCAUCUACUCCAAUCUCCCGCAAUGCAGGAAUCUCAGCUAAAGCAUCCAUGACAGAUGGCCAUCCAACCUCUGCUUAUAGACCUCCAAGGAAGCAGAGUCCACAGUCUCCCAAGGAAGACGGUUCCAUGGUCAAACAGCUCUUUCUGACAGUUCUUCCUGAUGUUUAGUUGGAAUCUCCUUUCUUGUAACUUGAAGCCAUUGGUUUGAGUCCUGCCCUCCAGAGCAGGAGAAAACAAGCUUGUUCCCCCUUCAACAUAUUGGCCCUUGGGAUAUUUGAAGACGGCUAUCCUAUCUCAGUUGCCUCUUUCCCAGUCUUAAUGCACACUUUUCACAGGUAAACUGUUCUAAUUUGUUGGUUUAUUUGAGCAUUGCAGGGAAUUGAUCUCCUCUCUGAAAGCAGUGGGAUUUUCAUUCAGCUCCAACUCUGACCUGAGAUUUUAGCAAGCAUUGCCAACCAUGUCUUUGCAGUCAUAAGACCGAGAAGGUUGUUUACAAAAACCAGACGGUAAAUGGUGCACCCAGUGUAACAGUCUAUGCUUUUUUCUGUGCUCCCGUAAUAUAAUGACCUGGUUAACACAUCAUGCUAAGCCAAAUCAUGGCUUGCCGAUGCUUCAUGCAUCCUUGGAUGUUUUGCAGCUGUGCUGCAGUGAGCCCAAGCCAUAGUUUAGCAUAGUUUGCUGUAGGAACCUGUGCUCUUCAAACUCGUGACAAGCAGUAACCAAGAUUUGCCCUAUGAUUUUAUUACUGUUUUUAUUAAUUUUUUAAAGAAUGGUUUAACUGUACAAAAUAAAAUCAAAAAGGAGGGAGACAAAAAGAGAAACGGUAUACUAUAUCAUUAUAAGAGUUAAUUACAAUUUCAUAUAUGCUUAUCUAAUGUACAGGUAUUAUUAUUAUCCAGAUACAUAUAUGUUUAUUUUUAACCUACUAUAUUUUGAAUAAAUGUGUUCCAGAUGUCAUUAUGCUUGGCCAUGCAAAGUCUCCAUCUAUAAGCAAUCCGUUCAUCAGUUGCAAGUGUAGUUGUAUCUUCAAUUCAUUGAUUAAAUGGAGCCGUACGCUUACCUUUCCAGUGCAUCGGUAUCAGUCUUUUGGCCGUAUCAAGGAAUCCAUUUACAUUGUCCCGUUGUCAAAUUCCAUAAAGUAGGUAUGUAGUUCUAAAUAAUAUUUUCUUCUGAAAACUUUAGCUCCCCCCCUCCACAGUUAUAUAAUCCACUGCUUUCUCCCAAGACGUAAUAAGUGUAAGGCAUUGUAAAAACAUGUGUUUUAAAGAAGCAUUAUCCCUACUACAUCUCCAACCUUUCCACCUGGUGGUCCAUCCUCAAGUCCUAUUGUUACUAUUGCCGCUUCCUCUUUUGGUUCUGGUUUAGCAGUUGUGGCAUGAUUUGGCAGAGGAGGCUGCUACUCGCUAACUCCUGCAUUAGCACCAACAUGGUGCACAUGGAAGAAUGCAAAGGAAGAUAAAUCCGCUAGCAUAAUCUUGGCCUCACUUAGGACAGAAGCAUCUCGUGGUUGGCAUUCACUUUGGGGCCCUGAUGUAUCACUUCUGGAGAAACAUGCCUUGCGCUUUCUUGAAAAAUGUUCUUUUGUCCAUUACAUGAGAACAUGAGAUUCCGGGGAGCCGGAAAGCCUGCACUCGCAGGCAUGUCAGUAAGAUGGACACAGCAUCUCGGCAGUUGAAGAAAAAUGGCCGUCCAGCCUGCAAAAUGACAUCUACAAACUGACUUUGACAUGAGGUGGGCAUGGCACACAAUCUGGCUGGCAUGGAAUUAAAGCCAUUCCUUAGAAACAAAUGGCAGGUGCGGUUAGCUGCCCUCUAUGAACAACGGCAUCCCGGCUGCCAGAUCAAUGUUGGCAGCUUUGAUCCCCAGUCAAUCUUUUAAGAAAAAAAGAGAGAGGAUCCCAUCUACUGAGUCAUCUCUCAAGCCUGACGGCUACAAUAGCAAGCAAGCUUGUCGCAUGUCCAGCUAACGAAACAACAACAGGGGAUGCUGCAAAGAUGGAAACCCCUUUGAGUUAUUCCUGACAGAAUCACAGUAAUAUUGUCAACCCUGAGCAGACCAUUCCUCCUUGGAUGCGCUGUGAAUUCUUCUCACGGUUCUACACAGUCCUCUAAACAUACUUUAUUUGUUUAACAUUUAGCAUCUGUCCCAUCCUUCCAAGCGUGGGGUUGUGUGGAAAUAUUCACAAAGGGUUCAAUAAAAAAGGUCU